GAGGUGGGAGGAUUGCUUGAGCCCAGAGUUUGAGGCUGCAGUGAACCAUGAUCACACCACUGCACUCUAGCCUGAGUGACAGAGCAAGACCUUGUCUCA
RNAcentral lists this microRNA precursor (99 nucleotides) under Rhinopithecus roxellana (golden snub-nosed monkey). RNAcentral describes it as "miRNA (ENSRROG00000010671.1)". The record is from RNAcentral. Lineage: Eukaryota; Metazoa; Chordata; Mammalia; Primates; Cercopithecidae.